AGUGACCAACAUUUUUUGUCCGAUCCUGCAGCCCGCUCUUUGGCAGCCGCGUCCCUUGCUGACGAUGCGUCAUCCCAACACAGCUCUGACCAAUCGGACACGAGGACUGAACACUCUGAUGAGGAUGUGGGAGAAAAAGUCCCCAAACGCGCUCCCAGUGUCAAGACAACCAAGAAACCUGCUGCUAAGACGGAGACUCAAACCAAGACGGUGAAGAAGCCGGCCAAGAAAAAGACCACAACUAACAAUGCAGAGACGCCGCCAUGAGGCCUGCUGUCCACACCCACAGGCCUACACUCGCUCCACCCACAGGCUGCAGGCCCUUCUUCCUUUUGUCUGCUCUCCACACAAACACCUAUUCACUGUGGCAACAGCUCUUUUACAUUUACCGGGUUGCUGCAUAUUUGUUCUCACGCUUUUGCUUACUGUGAGCUCAUCCCAGAUUCAACAGUCGUUUUUUAGACAUGUUUUUAAUCUGAUGGUUAGUGACGCUUCAAGAAAUGCUCCCUUUUUUAUUUUAACCCCGACAUAUAUGUAGGUCCCUAUAGUACGUGAGAACAUUAGCUCACCAUGUUGCAGUUUUCCACAUUCUUCACUCCUCGUUCUCUAUAUUUGGUUGCCUUUUGUGUCCUUUGGGCUACUCCUGCAUGAUUUUCAAUUAAAAACAAUCUGACCCACCCCGGUGCGUUCAGGCUACAAGUCUGGGUACUCCUCUGGACCUGACCAUGAUGGUAGAAAUCCUCAGAUGUUGUCUCUGGAGUACAAACAUCACCAAGACGGUUGAAAUCAACUGUAAAGCAUUGAUGGAUCGUUGUAAACGUCUUCAUUACGGUUUCAGACCUAAUAGUUCCCACUUAUGACGACAGCUCAGCUCACCACCAUGUCUUUGCUCAUGCAACUGUCUAGCUUUACAGUAUGACUUGUGAUCAGACCUCUUUUUGUUUCUAUAUUGUCUUAUUCAUUUUGACCUGUUUGACUGCAUCUUGGGCCUCACAGCUUGUGGAAGAGUUUAGCUUCCCCACAUUAAGUCUCUAUACCUCUUACUGAGUCUGGCUCUGCUAAGUUCAGGUCUCACUUACAGCAACUUUCUUCCUCACUGCUUUAAUGUGACUUUCAUGUCAUGUACAGUACUGGUGAUGGAGUGGUUUGUUUAGUGUUGGCUGAUUAUCCUUCAUAUAGACUCCACUCAUAUUUAUUACACUUCUGUUUUAUCCAGUUAUUUUGGUGAUAUCAAUAAUAGGUAUAAUCAGUUGUGCAUAGCCAGGCCUCUUAAGGUAAUGCUGUACCUCCCCAGUCAAUACAGUAGUCAUAGAAGAGUUGUGAGGCAACAUAUCUGCUUUCACCACAGUAGUGAUGUCUGUAUAUUGUUUGUGUUCAACAUUAGAAAGUCGGGGAGUAGCGCUGCACUUUCUCACUCCUCUCACCCAGCGGUGUGGUGACACUCUGCCUCUCUGUAAUAGUUAUACAUCUCAGAAUCCAGGAUAAAGCAAAGCAAUAUGGAAAUAUUUAAACCAAAAUCAACAGCAGGAGACUGAGGAAUUAUUUUCUCAUCCCCGUGCUGUUGUUGCAGAUGUGGAGGAAGUGUCAGACCAGGCUCCGGGUGUUUCUAAACACGCUGGAUUUUUGUUCUGGGAUGGGCUCUUCUGGUUGCCAGCCAAUGCAUUGGCCAUUGUUUCUGCUGAGAUUUAAAAGCAUGAGACUAUUUCUGCACUCAAUACUGCUGUCUACGAUGUGACACUAGUUUGAACCAGUAGGGGGAGACGAACCCCACCUCAACUGUUGGCAGAGUUACUAAACAAUAUGUAAACACGAUGUAAAUAGUAAUCUUGACUGUAUAUACAGUAUGAGCUUGCUUGCCUUAUUCAUUCUCUGGGCUUCAACACAUUUAAUUUUUUUAAUCAUUUGUGUGCUUUUUAAACUUCUUAAAGUCCUUAAUGUUCUGAAACUGGAAGAAGCUCGGACUCCAGUGUGGACUUCUGCUGUUAGAAGUCUUGAUUUUUGUAUUUUGUUUAUGAGUUUUGUAUUUGUAACAUUUUUUAUUUUUCUGUCUUGUCUCAUUAAUUUGAACUCUCCUCCAUCACAAAGUAAGGAAUCUCCAGACUGAGUAUAAACUGAUACAACGUACAUUCACGUUCUGCUAUGUACUCUACUCAAACUGGUUCAUAAGUAUUUUAGGGCCAAAAGCUGAAAACAGAAUUUUGUUUUCAGUCUUAAUUUAAUGUUUACAUAGAAUAGAAACACUGAAUAGAAGACGGCACACAAUGAAAAUACUUUUUUUCUCUUCUCAAGAUACAACCCUGCAUUUUUUUUAAAUCUUGUUUUUAUGCCAUUUGUGGAUAUUUAUUGUUGUUUCUUCUGUUUGAAAUCAGUAUUGUAUACAGAAAUGUUAAUUUGUAUAUGGUUUGUGCCAAUUCUUAAAGCUCCAUGUCAAACAGGAUUACAGUGUGUGUGCUGUAAGGUCAUGUAUCAGUAAUAAAACUACUAAUAAAGGAAAUCAAAUCUGA
Long non-coding RNA from Cottoperca gobio, 2504 nucleotides. RefSeq lists it as uncharacterized. NCBI's taxonomy places the organism in Eukaryota, Metazoa, Chordata, Actinopteri, Perciformes, Bovichtidae. The transcript is spliced from 2 exons. The record is from RefSeq and is a predicted model, not a curated record.